AGAGGGUGCGAGCGUUAAUCGGAAUUACUGGGCGUAAAGCGCACGUAGGCGGCUUGGUAUGUCGGGUGUGAAAUCCCCGGGCUCAACCUGGGAACUGCAUCCGAAACUGCCUUGCUAGAGUAUGGGAGAGGGAAGUGGAAUUUCCGGUGUAGCGGUGAAAUGCGUAGAUAUCGGAAGGAACAUCAGUGGCGAAGGCGACUUCCUGGACCAAUACUGACGCUCAGGUGCGAAAGCGUGGGGAGCAAACAGGAUUAGAUACCCUGGUAGUCCACGCCCUAAACGAUGACAACUGGAUGUCGGGAGGGUUUGCCUUCCGGUGUCGUAGCUAACGCGUUAAGUUGUCCGCCUGGGAAGUACGGCCGCAAGGUUG
RNAcentral lists this ribosomal RNA (370 nucleotides) under uncultured bacterium. RNAcentral describes it as "bacterial SSU rRNA". It matches the Rfam family "Bacterial small subunit ribosomal RNA", at positions 527 to 896 of the family's 1533-position model. The record is from RNAcentral.